GAUGAAGAACGUAGCGAAAUGCGAUAAGUAAUGUGAAUUGCAGAAUUCAGUGAAUCGUCGAAUCUUUGAACGCACCUUGCGCCCUUUGGCCAUUCCGAAGGGCAUGCCUGUUUGAGUAUCAUGAACACCUCAACUCUUUAUGGUUUUCCAUGAUGAGCUUGGACUCUGGGGGUUUUGCUGGCUCACAGUCGGCUCCUCUAAAAUGAAUCAGCUUACCAGUGUUUGGUGGGUAUCAUGGGUGUGAUAACUAUCUACGCUUGUGGUUUUUCCACCAGGUAACCUUCAGCAGUGGAGGUUCGCUGGAGCUCAUAGAUGUCUCUCCUCAGUGAGGACAGCCCUUUGAAUGUUUGAUCUCAAAUCAGGUAGGACUACCCGCUGAACUUAAGCAUAUCAAUAAGCGGAGGA
This 405-nucleotide unclassified non-coding RNA is filed under the name soil metagenome. RNAcentral's name for it is "partial contains 5.8S ribosomal RNA, internal transcribed spacer 2, and large subunit ribosomal RNA". The stretch from base 1 to 121 matches the Rfam family "5.8S ribosomal RNA", at positions 35 to 154 of the family's 154-position model. The record is from RNAcentral.